GACGAACGCUGGCGGCGUGCUUAACACAUGCAAGUCGAGCGGUAAGGCCCUUUCGGGGGUACACGGGCGGCGAACGGGUGAGUAACACGUGGGUGACCUGCCCUCAGCUCUGGGAUAAGCCUGGGAAACCGGGUCUAAUACUGGAUAUGACUCUAUGACGCAUGUUGUGGGGUGGAAAGCCUUGUGCGGCUGAGGAUGGGCCCGCGGCCUAUCAGCUUGUUGGUGGGGUGANGGCCUACCAAGGCGACGACGGGUAGCCGGCCUGAGAGGGCGACCGGCCACACUGGGACUGAGACACGGCCCAGACUCCUACGGGAGGCAGCAGUGGGGAAUCUUGCGCAAUGGGCGAAAGCCUGACGCAGCGACGCCGCGUGAGGGAUGACGGCCUGGUGUAAC
This 396-nucleotide ribosomal RNA is filed under the name uncultured bacterium. Its description in RNAcentral is "bacterial SSU rRNA". It matches the Rfam family "Bacterial small subunit ribosomal RNA", at positions 28 to 429 of the family's 1533-position model. The record is from RNAcentral.